UACGAAGGGGGCUAGCGUUGCUCGGAAUCACUGGGCGUAAAGCGCACGUAGGCGGAUUGUUAAGUCAGGGGUGAAAUCCUGGAGCUCAACUCCAGAACUGCCUUUGAUACUGGCGAUCUUGAGUCCGGGAGAGGUGAGUGGAACUCCGAGUGUAGAGGUGAAAUUCGUAGAUAUUCGGAAGAACACCAGUGGCGAAGGCGGCUCACUGGACUGGUAUUGACGCUGAGGUGCGAAAGCGUGGGGAGCAAACAGG
This 253-nucleotide ribosomal RNA is filed under the name uncultured bacterium. Its description in RNAcentral is "partial 16S ribosomal RNA". It matches the Rfam family "Bacterial small subunit ribosomal RNA", at positions 524 to 776 of the family's 1533-position model. The record is from RNAcentral.